AGAGUUUGAUCAUGGCUCAGAUUGAACGCUGGCGGCAUGCCUAACACAUGCAAGUCGAACGGAAACGAUGCUAGCUUGCUAGCAGGCGUCGAGUGGCGGACGGGGGAGUAAUGCAUAGGAAUCUACCUAGUAGCGGGGGACAACCUGGUGAAAACCAGGAAUACCGCAUACGCCCUACGGGGGAAAGGAGGGGACUCUUCGGAGCCUUUCGCGAUUGGAUGUGCCCAAGUGGGAUUAGCUAGUUGGUGAGGUAAAGGCUCACCAAGGCGACGAUCCCUAGCUGGUUUGAGAGGAUGAUCAGCCACACUGGAACUGAGACACGGUCCAGACUCCUACGGGAGGCAGCAGUGGGGAAUAUUGCACAAUGGACGAAAGUCUGAUGCAGCCAUGCCGCGUGUAUGAAGAAGGCCUUCGGGUUGUAAAGUACUUUCAGCGAGGAGGAAAGGUUAGUCGUUCAUAACUGCUACCUGUGACGUUAGCAACAGAAGAAGGACCGGCUAACUCCGUGCCAGCAGCCGCGGUAAUACGGAGGGUCCGAGCGUUAAUCGGAAUUACUGGGCGUAAAGCGCACGCAGGCGGUUUGUUAAGCCAGAUGUGAAAGCCCCGGGCUCAACCUGGGAACUGCAUUCAAAACUGCCUAGCUAGAGUACGAUAGAGGGGGGUAGAAUUUCAGGUGUAGCGGUGAAAUGCGUAGAGAUCUGAAGGAAUACCAGUGGCGAAGGCGGCCCCCUGGAUUGAUACUGACACUGAGGUGCGAAAGCGUGGGUAGCAAACAGGAUUAGAUACCCUGGUAGUCCAUGCCGUAAACGAUGUCAACUAGCCGUUGGAAGACUUGAUCUUUUAGUGGCGCAGCUAACGCAAUAAGUUGACCGCCUGGGGAGUACGGCCGCAAGGUUAAAACUCAAAUGAAUUGACGGGGGCCCGCACAAGCGGUGGAGCAUGUGGUUUAAUUCGAAGCAACGCGAAGAACCUUACCCGCUCUUGACAUCCAGUGAACGAUUCAGAGAUGAAUUGGUGCCUUCGGGAACUGAGUGACAGGUGCUGCAUGGCUGACGUCAGCUCGUGUUGUGAAAUGUUGAGUUAAGUCCCGUAACGAGCGCAACCCUUGUCCUUAUUUGCCAGCACGUAAUGGUGGGAACUUUAAGGAGACUGCCGGUGACAAACCGGAGGAAGGUGGGGACGACGUCAAGUCAUCAUGGCCCUUACGACCUGGGCUACACACGUGCUACAAUGGCCGGUACAGAGGGUUGCAAAGCCGCGAGGUGGAGCCAAUACCAGAAAGCCGGUCGUAGUUCGGAUUGGAGUCUGCAACUCGACUCCAUGAAGCCGGAAUCGCUAGUAAUCGCGUAUCAGCUACGACGCGGUGAAUACGUUCCCGGGCCUUGUACACACCGCCCGUCACACCAUGGGAGUGGAUUGCACCAGAAGUAGGUAGCUUAACCUUCGGGAGAGCGCUUACCACGGUGUGGUUCAUGACUGGGGUGAAGUCGAAACAAGGUAACCGUA
RNAcentral lists this ribosomal RNA (1506 nucleotides) under uncultured prokaryote. RNAcentral's name for it is "partial 16S ribosomal RNA". It matches the Rfam family "Bacterial small subunit ribosomal RNA". The record is from RNAcentral.